AACGAACGCUGGCGGCGUGCUUAACACAUGCAAGUCGAACGCGAAAGGGACUUCGGUCCCGAGUAGAGUGGCGCACGGGUGAGUAACGCGUAAGUAAUCUACCCCUGUAUCUGGAAUAACCCACCGAAAGGUGAGCUAAUACCGGAUACGUUUAUCUUGAUGCGAAUGAUGAUAAAGAAAGGUGGCCUCUUCAUGAAAGCUACCGUACAGGGACGAGCUUGCGUACCAUUAGCUGGUUGGUAGGGUAAUGGCCUACCAAGGCGACGAUGGUUAGCGGGUCUGAGAGGAUGAUCCGCCACACUGGAACUGAAACACGGACCAGACUCCUACGGGAGGCAGCAGUGAGGAAUAUUGCGCAAUGGGGGCAACCCUGACGCAGCGACGCCGCGUGGACGAUGAAGGCCCUUGGGUCGUAAAAUCCUGUCAGAUGGAAAGAAAUGUACAGGUGUUAAUAUCGCCUGUAUUUGACGGUACCAUCAAAGGAAGCACCGGCUAACUCCGUGCCAGCAGCCCGCGGUAAUACGGAGG
Molecule: ribosomal RNA, 528 nt
Filed under: Desulfobulbaceae bacterium enrichment culture clone B3
Lineage: Bacteria; Pseudomonadati; Thermodesulfobacteriota; Desulfobulbia; Desulfobulbales; Desulfobulbaceae
Description: bacterial SSU rRNA
Rfam family: Bacterial small subunit ribosomal RNA
Source: RNAcentral